GACGAACGCUGGCGGCGUGCUUAACACAUGCAAGUCGAACGGAAAGGCCCUGCUUUUGUGGGGUGCUCGAGUGGCGAACGGGUGAGUAACACGUGAGUAACCUGCCCUUGACUUUGGGAUAACUUCAGGAAACUGGGGCUAAUACCGGAUAGGAGCUCCUGCUGCAUGGUGGGGGUUGGAAAGUUUCGGCGGUUGGGGAUGGACUCGCGGCUUAUCAGCUUGUUGGUGGGGUAGUGGCUUACCAAGGCUUUGACGGGUAGCCGGCCUGAGAGGGUGACCGGCCACAUUGGGACUGAGAUACGGCCCAGACUCCUACGGGAGGCAGCAGUGGGGAAUAUUGCACAAUGGGCGGAAGCCUGAUGCAGCAACGCCGCGUGCGGGAUGACGGCCUUCGGGUUGUAAACCGCUUUCGCCUGUGACGAAGCGUGAGUGACGGUAAUGGGUAAAGAAGCACCGGCUAACUACGUGCCAGCAGCCGCGGUGAUACGUAGGGUGCGAGCGUUGUCCGGACUUAUUGGGCGUAAAGGGCUCGUAGGUGGUUGAUCGCGUCGGAAGUGUAAUCUUGGGGCUUAACCCUGAGCGUGCUUUCGAUACGGGUUGACUUGAGGAAGGUAGGGGAGAAUGGAAUUCCUGGUGGAGCGGUGGAAUGCGCAGAUAUCAGGAGGAACACCAGUGGCGAAGGCGGUUCUCUGGGCCUUUCCUGACGCUGAGGAGCGAAAGCGUGGGGAGCGAACAGGCUUAGAUACCCUGGUAGUCCACGCUGUAAACGGUGGGUACUAGGUGUGGGGUCCAUUCCACGGGUUCCGUGCCGUAGCUAGCGCUUUAAGUACCCCGCCUGGGGAGUACGGCCGCAAGGCUAAAACUCAAAGGAAUUGACGGGGCCCCGCACAAGCGGCGGAGCAUGCGGAUUAAUUCGAUGCAACGCGUAGAACCUUACCUGGGUUUGACAUGGAUCGGGAGUGCUCAGAGAUGGGUGUGCCUCUUUUGGGGUCGGUUCACAGGUGGUGCAUGCCUGUCGUCAGCUCGUGUCGUGAGAUGUUGGGUUAAGUCCCGCAACGAGCGCAACCCUUGUUCACUGUUGCCAGCACGUUAUGGUGGGGACUCAGUGGAGACCGCCGGGGUCAACUCGGAGGAAGGUGGGGAUGACGUCAAGUCAUCAUGCCCCUUAUGUCCAGGGCUUCACGCAUGCUACAAUGGCUGGUACAGAGAGUGGCGAGCCUGUGAGGGUGAGCGAAUCUCGGAAAGCCGGUCUCAGUUCGGAUUGGGGUCUGCAACUCGACCUCAUGAAGUCGGAGUCGCUAGUAAUCGCAGAUCAGCAACGCUGCGGUGAAUACGUUCCCGGGGCU
This 1346-nucleotide ribosomal RNA is filed under the name uncultured bacterium. RNAcentral's name for it is "partial 16S ribosomal RNA". It matches the Rfam family "Bacterial small subunit ribosomal RNA", at positions 28 to 1381 of the family's 1533-position model. The record is from RNAcentral.